AAGUCGUAACAAGGUUUCCGUAGGUGAACCUGCGGAAGGAUCAUUAUCGAAUGAACGAAGCGCGCGGUUGCUGCUGGUCGUUCGCGCGACAACGUGCACGCCGCCGUUUCUCUUUCAUCCAUCCACCCCUUCUGUGCACUUUGCGUGGACCGCGGAUCUCUCGCGGUCUAUGACUUUUUUUUUACACACUCCGUAACCUGCGAAUGAAUGCAUCGUUCGAGCAUUUCGUCUCGAUAUAAUCUAAUACAACUUUCAACAACGGAUCUCUUGGCUCUC
RNAcentral lists this unclassified non-coding RNA (276 nucleotides) under fungal sp. RNAcentral's name for it is "partial internal transcribed spacer region". The stretch from base 1 to 46 matches the Rfam family "Eukaryotic small subunit ribosomal RNA", at positions 1786 to 1831 of the family's 1831-position model. The record is from RNAcentral. RNAcentral also lists the same sequence under 1 other name. Lineage: Eukaryota; Fungi.